AUUUGAAUUUGCUUUUUGCACAAGUUUUGACGUACGUUAAGUUUUGACUAGCUAGGUUCGUAUUAAUUUAAUCCCAUUAUACAACUUUUUACUAUACCCAACACAAAUUAAAACACAAGUCAAACUUAAAUGAAAGCAAAAUCAAACAGAUAAAUUAUUAAUUAGCUAAGUAGCCAAGGAGCCGACCAUAGCUUAGUAAUUAUAUAAAGCAAUUGGGUUUCUAUCUUUUGAUGAGUCACCUGGACGUUUCAUAUUCAUGCAAUAAAUAGCCACAGUUUCUAUAGAUGUUAAAAAGCCUUUGCUGCAAGAAACCCCUUCGGCUUCAAGUUCCAGUCCCAUUAUUAGCCCUCUUUCCUUUCCUUUUUCCUAUAGAAGUUCUUCUCUUUAAAAUUGCUUUUUGCACAAGUGCUUUUUCAUUUGCUCUCAUCAGAGGUGAGGAACUUUAUAGAUGAUGCUUCAAUGGGUCCAAGUUUCAUUAUGAAAUUAUUUCAUUUCAGUUAUUUAUUUUCUUUACAUUAUGUCAUCGCAGGCUGCUGGUCUAAUAAAUUAAAAAUGAGAAAUUCCCUUCUUUCUUCAGUGCCUUCCCAGCUUUACUACUUUGGCAAUGGUACUUUCAAUUAGUUUUCUAUGAAGCUUGAGUAGAGCCUAAUACAAAAUAUUUAUUUUUGCUUGGAGUUAAUUUUUUACUGGGUUUUUAAUUAAUGGACAGACACAUUGUGUGUUGUGAUGAUAUUUAAUUUUGUUCUUUUUUUGAUUUUUUCUUUUUAAAUUUUCAGGAAACAAUGAAGUUCAGAUGCCAUAUUUGGCCAAUUCCAUGCAAGUUGAUAGCCUAGUGUAUGCUUUCUUUCUAUCCUUCAAACAUUAAUACACCAUUUUAAGUACUUAAAAUGAAUACAAGAUAUUUAAAGAUGCUGCAGAGUGCAGGCAAAUGGCAAAAGCAAUUUUUUUUUUUUUGGGUGAUUAUGGACUAUGGUGUUUGCUGGAAUAAUCAAAAGCAUUUUUUUUUUCAAAGAUUUGAGAAGUACUUGCUCGUUUGAUCAAAUUCAACCAACCAUUUAUCAACAUCAAUAUUUAAGAAGAAGGGGAAAAAAAAUUUUAUCGUGCCCUCUACUUUUGUCUUGGCUUUUUAUCAAACAUCACAGCAUGUCCUGUUUGCGGUGGUCUUGGCUUGCAUUGUAUAUUCUUUUCUAACUUUAUUGGUUGUCUCUUAUGGACACGUGUGUAGUAGUGAGUGUGUGUGCGUGAGUGAGUGUAUAUAUGAUCAUCAAUUUCAAUAAAACAUGCAUGAUAUAUGAUAAUUUUUCAGCUUAUUGAAUAAUUAUUUCGUAGUCUUGACUUCCUUUCCCUAUUUUUUGUUCCUUUUUCUUCUCAGGAAAACAUACACAUUAUCAUAGAUUCCUUUGCCAUUUGUAGACUAAGACAACACAACAUGAGGUUAAAGCAUUAACUUGUGAUUUUUAUUUAUGAAUACAGUGAUAUUUUUGUUAAAAAGGUAUCAAGAUUAAUGAUAUAAGGCCUUUGUUUGUAAAGUCUAGGUUUGUGAAUUCAAAGGGGGUGGAACUAUAUGAAUUAAAGAUUGCCUUAGAAAGAUAGAGAAUAUGCAGAGCUUUAAGAGGUACAUCUCUUAAUUGCCUUGAACUCUAUAUUUAUUGUGAAUAUUUUGGAUUAGUAGCUCCAUCAAUAAAAUGGCUGAAAUGUUUUAUUAUUCUAGUAGAGUAAUUUGGAAUGAGUUGACACUAAUUGCAUUAUGCAGAAAGUGUGUAAUUAUCAAGAGUUAAAUGCUUUACUCUCACACUUAGGCUUGGUGGCUAAAAGACAUAAUUGCAAGCCUUUUUUUGAAAAAACAUACUAUGUUGUAUUAGAUAUUACAUUUUAUUAUGAAUUUUUUUAGCUGGAAAAUCAUUGUUUUUUAUAUAAUGAGAAAUAAAC
Molecule: long non-coding RNA, 1929 nt
Filed under: Citrus maxima (pomelo)
Lineage: Eukaryota; Viridiplantae; Streptophyta; Magnoliopsida; Sapindales; Rutaceae
Description: long non-coding RNA (CMAX_LNC001284)
Source: RNAcentral